RNAcentral lists this ribosomal RNA (1732 nucleotides) under Tegolophus sp. NJAUEriHN176. RNAcentral describes it as "bacterial SSU rRNA". It matches the Rfam family "Eukaryotic small subunit ribosomal RNA", at positions 56 to 1449 of the family's 1831-position model. The record is from RNAcentral. Lineage: Eukaryota; Metazoa; Arthropoda; Arachnida; Trombidiformes; Eriophyidae.
UGUAAAGUUCAAGCUCCGAUUUGAGGGCGAACCGCGAAUGGCUCAUUAAAUCAGUCAUAAUCUACUUGAUUGUUGAAGGUUAGAUGGAUAACUGUGGUAAUUCUAGAGCUAAUACAUGCCGAGGAGGGCGACUCUGGUUGGGGUAAAAGCCGAUUGGAGAAGCCUCGCGUUUAUUAGACUAAGACCAGUGUGGCGCAAGCCACUUGGUUAGGUGACUCUGAGUAAAUAACGGGUGUAAGCCCGUGAAGCCGACCUGGCACUCAACACUCUUCGGAAUGGCCAGGCGAAUCAAUCCAGUGGCUGCUCUAUCAACUGGGGAUGGGAGGGUAAUUGCCUACCAUGGUGAUGACCGGUAACGGGGAAUUAGGGCUCGACUCCCGAAAACAAGCCUGAGAAACGGCUAGUAGGACUAAGGUCUGCAGCAGGCGCGAAACUUACACAAUGCUAGAUUACAAGUUAGCGAUGUAGUGAAGAAAAAUAACGAUGUGCUUGCAUUUAAACAUGCUUGCACAAUUGGAAUGAGACGACUGUAAAUUGGUCAGUCGAGUAACAAAUGGAGGGCAAGUCUGGUGCCAGCAGCCGCGGUAAUUCCAGCUCCAUUAGCAUACAUUAAAGUUGUUGCGGUUAAAAAGCUCGUAGUUGAAUGUAGUGGUUGUUUUGUGUGUGUUUGGGCGUUAAGCGCGCCUCGGUGCGUGUCCAGGUCACUGCACGAAGCAGCUAGUUUCGUCACUUAAUCGAGUGCGAAGCGGGGUUGGAUUUAAGUCUUCGGACGAAGUUUCAGCCAAGUUUACCUUGAGAAAAUCAGAGUGCUCAGAGCAGGCAGUUGGGGCGUAAAAACCUCUUUAUGCUUGAAUGAUGUUGCAUGGAAUAAUAGAAUACGGCCUCGGUUCUAUUCUGUUGGUCUUAUAGAACAACAAACAAGUUGGUGAUGUCGCUAACGGGUUGCUGUUGGGGUGUCGCUUGUAGGACUUGUUGCCUGGGAGUAAAAUCUCAGUGCCAACCAACAAGCAACACAAAAAGCCCCUCCAACAAACCAGACAUACUACCAACUGAGGCAAUGGUUAAAAGAAAUAGUCGCGGCGGCAUCAGUACUGCAUCGUGAGAGGUGAAAUUCUUAGACCGAUGCAAGACUAACUGAAGCGAAAGCGUUUGCCGAGGAUAUUUUCAUUAAUCAAGAACGAAAGUUAGAGGUUCGAAGGCGAUCAGAUACCGCCCUAGUUCUAACCAUAAACGUUGCCAACUAGCAAUUGGGUUGCGAUUCCUUUAGUGGGCGCCUAAAAAACGUCCACCAUUAUGAUCCACCCAGCGGCUCUCGUAGGGAAACCAAAGUGUUUGGGUUCCGGGGGAAGUAUGAUUGCAAAGUUGAAACUUAAAGGAAUUGACGGAAGGGCACCACCAGGAGUGGAGCCUGCGGCUUAAUUUGACUCAACACGGGGAAACUUACUAGAUUAGAACUCUGGAAUGAUUGACAGAUUGAUAGCUCUUUCUUGAUUCAGAGGAUGGUGGUGCAUGGCCGUUCUUGAUUCGUAUUCCGAAACGUCUGCUUAAUUGCGAUAACGAGUGAGACCUCAGCCAACUAACUAGUGCGCGGUCGCGAUGUUGGGGCACUCAAGGGUUGCGUGGGUUUUGGUUGAGAUGGUGGCAACAUCGUCUUGACUGCCGCGCAAUUCGCUCUCUUCUCGACCCGUGACUUCUUAGAGGGAUAAACGGUGUUUUAGCCGUAAGAAACGAG